This 73-nucleotide transfer RNA is filed under the name Kofleriaceae bacterium. RNAcentral describes it as "tRNA-Val". The record is from RNAcentral. Lineage: Bacteria; Pseudomonadati; Myxococcota; Haliangiales; Kofleriaceae.
CGGGACCAGCUCACCUGGGGGUGAGGCCGCUCUCACACAGCGGACGCGGAGGGUUCGAUCCCCUCGGUCCCGA